GCUUGAUUGUUGUUGUUGCAUGAUAAAGUAGGAAUAGAACUAGCUAAUGAAAGAAUAGGCAAAUAAGUGCACAUGUAACUGAAAUAUAUAGAAGAUAGAAUUGGCAGGAGAAAGCAAAAUAAGAGACUAAUAUGUCAAAUCAUGUACAUAUAUAUUCAUGUAAAAAUAAAAACCUGAGAAAUCAACCAACAAAUUUGCAUUUAGGUAAAUCUAUCGGAACAACCUUGGUACAGAUCUCUUUGGCACUUUGCCUUCAAGCUUUAGUCUUCUAUAUGCUUCUCUUAUGUGGCAAGGUCUGAUUGGCCCAGAUUCCUUCCUCUCUGUCAUUACCAUUCUGGCUGGAAACCAUAGUAACCAAAUGAAAAAUGGCAGAAGAUUGAGCUAUUUAAAUUUCUAUAUAAAAAUUUUCAUGCACCCUAAACCACACAAAAGAUUACUUUUUCUCAUGCAUUUCUCAAGGAGUUAACUGCAAGGUGCUAGAAGUUAAUUCCAUGCCAUAGUUGUUUAAAGGUGUAUCUGGCCCCCGGUGCUGGAGUCACCAGCCCAAGCACCUCAAUCCACAAAAGGUGGGCACGUUUCAUCAAGCAGCCACCUUAAGCCAGGUGAAAGGCACAUGCCUAGGCAUGCCUACCUACCAUUUUUUCCUGCAUCCAUCUCUCUAUCUAUUGAUCAUCCUUUUAUAUUCUUCUCCACUCAACUUUCCUUUCCUUUUGUUCCAGCUCCUUCCAGUCUUCCCUUCUUCUAAAAAGAAAAUUUUCUUCAUCAUUUUUUUCCCUUAUUUAUUCUUCUCCUACUUGAUCUAAAAAAUAAUGAACCACGACACCACCCCCAACCCCUUUUUUUUCUUCGUUCUUUAGAGUCUCCGCUGCCUGCCUCUUGGUCACUUUUUUGUUUCUUUCUCCUUCCUAGAUGCCUCUCAGACCCCAUUUUCUGGAUGCUUUUUUUUUUUCUUUUCUGAAUGCUUUUCAAGAGUAGAAAGAAGAUGAAGAAGAAGAAGAGAAUUGAUAAAGAGAAUAUGUUGUGCGUGAUAAUGAGCAGUUGGCUCAGGGUUGUUUUACAGAUUAUUUGUAGGAUUAUGGUUUUAAGUUUUCUAAAAUCGUUAUUUUCAUUUUUAUUUUAGAUUUCAAAAGCAAUGUAGCUAUGAUUCUGAUUGUUUUAUGUUGUAAACCUGAGUAAUCUUAUAAGAGAUAGUUGUCUUCUAUCAUUAAAGCUUGAUCUUAAAUUUUAUUUUUUUUGCACCUCACCUCUAAUAGGCAUGCGCCUACACCACACACUUUGUGUGCAGGCUCUAGGACCUCUCUGUGCCUCAAUGCACCUUACAUCUUUACUAUGGUCUAUGGUCAUAGAGACGAAAGUUACUACCCUUCUCAUUUACAUGGUAUUUGGAUUUACAAGUGACAAGCAUUAUUAUUCUGGAAAUGAAAUUAAAGAAAACAAUAAUAUU
RNAcentral lists this unclassified non-coding RNA (1444 nucleotides) under Hevea brasiliensis (rubber tree). Lineage: Eukaryota; Viridiplantae; Streptophyta; Magnoliopsida; Malpighiales; Euphorbiaceae. The record is from RNAcentral.